This 234-nucleotide long non-coding RNA is filed under the name Carica papaya (papaya). RNAcentral describes it as "long non-coding RNA (CPAP_LNC012153)". The record is from RNAcentral. Lineage: Eukaryota; Viridiplantae; Streptophyta; Magnoliopsida; Brassicales; Caricaceae.
CCUUCAAACCCUUUCGGUAUCCCUUCUGAUGGCUAUUAAGGUGGGAUAAAUCAACUGAGCCUCCUUAAUCAUCUAGAUCAACCUGAGUUUAAUUGUUAAAUGAGUCAUCCAUAUAGCAUGUUUUAGAUCUUGGAGUUGUAUUUUUUGCAUGACUUCUACCAAUCUCCACUCAGAGAUCAUUAUAUGGGCUAACAAACUUGCAUUUUUCUUACUGAUGGUAUCGGUUACUACAUU